UAAGCGGAGGAAAAGAAACUAACAAGGAUUCCCCUAGUAACGGCGAGUGAAGCGGGAAGAGCUCAAAUUUGAAAUCUGGUAGCCUUCGGUUGCCCGAGUUGUAAUCUAGAGAAGUGUUUUCCGUGCCGGCCCAUGUACAAGUCCCUUGGAACAGGGCGUCAUAGAGGGUGAGAAUCCCGUCCUUGACAUGGACCCCCGGUGCUUUGUGAUACACUUUCAACGAGUCGAGUUGUUUGGGAAUGCAGCUCAAAAUGGGUGGUGAAUUCCAUCUAAAGCUAAAUAUUGGCGAGAGACCGAUAGCGAACAAGUACCGUGAGGGAAAGAUGAAAAGCACUUUGGAAAGAGAGUUAAACAGUACGUGAAAUUGUUGAAAGGGAAACGAUUGAAGUCAGUCAUGCUCUUGGGACUUACCUCCCUUGAGUGGGGUCAACAUCAGUUUUGAUCGAUGGAUAAAGGCACGGGGAAGGUAGCACUCUCGGGUGAACUUAUAGCCUCGCGUCAUAUACAUUGAUUGGGACUGAGGAACGCAGCAUGCCUUAUGGCCGGGAUUCGUCCACGUACAUGCUUAGGAUGUUGACAUAAUGGCUUUAAACGACCCGUCUUGA
RNAcentral lists this ribosomal RNA (605 nucleotides) under Naganishia albida. RNAcentral's name for it is "LSU rRNA". It matches the Rfam family "Eukaryotic large subunit ribosomal RNA", at positions 47 to 657 of the family's 3401-position model. The record is from RNAcentral. Lineage: Eukaryota; Fungi; Basidiomycota; Tremellomycetes; Filobasidiales; Filobasidiaceae.